This 468-nucleotide ribosomal RNA is filed under the name uncultured bacterium. RNAcentral's name for it is "partial 16S ribosomal RNA". It matches the Rfam family "Bacterial small subunit ribosomal RNA", at positions 28 to 507 of the family's 1533-position model. The record is from RNAcentral.
GACGAACGCUGGCGGCGUGCUUAACACAUGCAAGUCGAACGGAAAGGCCCUGCUUUUGUGGGGUGCUCGAGUGGCGAACGGGUGAGUAACACGUGAGUAACCUGCCCUUGACUUUGGGAUAACUUCAGGAAACUGGGGCUAAUACCGGAUAGGAGCUCCUGCUGCAUGGUGGGGGUUGGAAAGUUUCGGCGGUUGGGGAUGGACUCGCGGCUUAUCAGCUUGUUGGUGGGGUAGUGGCUUACCAAGGCUUUGACGGGUAGCCGGCCUGAGAGGGUGACCGGGCACAUGGGGACUGAGAGACGGCGCAGACUCCUACGGGAGGCAGCAGUGGGGAAUAUGGCACAAUGGGCGGAAGCCUGAUGCAGCAACGCCGCGUGCGGGAUGACGGCCUUCGGGUUGUAAACCGCUUUCGCCUGUGACGAAGCGUGAGUGACGGUAAUGGGUAAAGAAGCACCGGCUAACUACGUG